AGAGUUUGAUCCUGGCUCAGAAUCAACGCUGGCGGCGUGCCUAACACAUGCAAGUCGAACGCGAAAGCCCCGCAAGGGGUAAGUAGAGUGGCAAACGGGUGAGUAACACGUGGGUGACCUGCCUUCGAGUGGGGGAUAACGUCCCGAAAGGGACGCUAAUACCGCAUGACAUCCUGCCUUUGGACAGGCGGAGAUCAAAGCUGGGGAUCGCAAGACCUGGCGCUUGAAGAGGGGCCCGCGCCUGAUUAGCUAGUUGGUGAGGUAACGGCUCACCAAGGCAACGAUCAGUAUCCGGCCUGAGAGGGCGGACGGACACACUGGGACUGAGACACGGCCCAGACUCCUACGGGAGGCAGCAGUGGGGAAUUGUUCGCAAUGGGCGCAAGCCUGACGACGCAACGCCGCGUGGAGGACGAAGAUCUUCGGGUCGUAAACUCCUGUCGAGCGGGACGAACGCUUCGCGAGUGAAUAGCUCGCGGAAUUGACGUACCGCUAAAGGA
RNAcentral lists this ribosomal RNA (500 nucleotides) under uncultured bacterium. Its description in RNAcentral is "bacterial SSU rRNA". It matches the Rfam family "Bacterial small subunit ribosomal RNA", at positions 8 to 488 of the family's 1533-position model. The record is from RNAcentral.